This 1036-nucleotide long non-coding RNA is filed under the name Sorghum bicolor (sorghum). Its description in RNAcentral is "long non-coding RNA (SBIC_LNC014322)". The record is from RNAcentral. Lineage: Eukaryota; Viridiplantae; Streptophyta; Magnoliopsida; Poales; Poaceae.
ACAACUUAAAUUGAUUAACUCAAUAUGCUUUGCUCUUUAAAAUUGUUCUUGGCACCAUUCUCUUAAUCUCAGUCUUAACUAAAUAAGUUAAAACAUUAUAUUCAAUCUUGGGAAGAUGAUAGUCAUACUUAUUUGAAAAUUUAUAUAGAGAUAGACAAUCCUUCCAUUGGUUAAGCAAUUUCAUUCUUUUCUAUCAUGUGAACUUAAAUGCAACAUUAAAUGCUUAAUCUUUUGAUCUACCACUCAUAAAUAAAUAAAUCAUGUAACACAACUUUAUCUUGUUUAAUGUGCCUAAGGAUGGAGAAAAAUAAAUAGAGAAAUAGAUUUUGUUUCGUUGGUGUUUUUCCACCAGUAGAGCCCAUACACUUGAUCUCUACCUUAGUUUUGCAAACAGGACAACACAUCAAGCAAAGUUUAUUAAUUCUACAAGUGAAAGUUCUGUGAGCAUGCACACUAAGCAAGAUGCUGCUAGCUACUAUUAAAGCCUACUUCAACCUGCUGACUAAAUCAAAGAACAAAAGUGACAUUACCAUUACAGAGGUAUGCAACCAUCAAGACCUCCAUCUCUCAAGAUGGAGAGAUACACAAGAGUGGAAGGAGAAGACCUGUCGGUAAACUUUAAAUUUUACAUCAUUGCCAUAAGGUAAUAUGGUAGUAUUCCUGUCUACAUUAAUAAUGUCACUCUAAUAUUUUCAUCUACAUAAAUAUAAAAAAAUAAAAUAAAAUAAAUCUUUAUUGCUUCAUUUACUGCAUCAUAAAAUAUUAAAAGCUCCAUAGGAAUAAACUUAUGGUAACCCUGUAGGAAUAUUUAUCGUGAUGACAUAAAGAAUAAUAAUAAUAGCUUCUGUAUUUACUUCGUCGCAUUAUGAAAAGCCUAAGCCACAUAAGAAUAAAUAUUCUUUAUAGAGGCAUAAAAAUACAACCAUAUAUAUGAAGCACACAUAUUUAAUUUCUACAUAAUUAAACUAGAAAAGGAGAAUCCUGCUAGAAUCUGUCAAUUCAAAUCAACUCAAAGAACAAUCAAUUACUUACUGGC